UUUUUUCUUUUUUUUUUUUAAUUCAUUAGCAGUCUAUGAGGUCAUUUUUAUUUUAGUCAUUAAAUUUCAAUUUAUAUAAUCGUUGAACUUUAUUAAAAAUUGCAAUAACAGUAAAGUUGAUGUGGAAUCUACACUAUCAUCAAUGCGCAGGAUAAUACACAUUGGCAGAGCCUAAAAGCUCUAGGGCAAAACAGAGAACCAUGUGGACGGCAUCACGGAUACCGCAAUCAUAUUUUCUGGGAACUAAUAAGAGUCUCUAUUGAUGUCCAAGCAUAGACAUUUGGCUAGGGGAAACAAUAAACCAAAAUAUGAAAAGACACAUUCAGUUCUAUAUUUUCAAGAUACCGACUCGCAGAGUACUUUCGUUUUGCUUCAAAAUCUGCGAGAUGGGAAAAGGUAUACGGAGAAUUAUGAGAUCAAUCUAAACCCAUCUUUAUUACUCUGAAUACAUCUGGCUCAUACAAAUGAACCAUCAACCAAAUAUGAAAUACGAAAACUGAAACUGCCUCUACAAAAUAGUUUACAAUCGCCAAUACAGGAGGACAAAACUUUUCAGGAUCUAUUUUCCUGUAAUACAACUAUCUUGGUAUUGGUAUCAAAAGGCCAUCAUUGUCCCCCGGGAAAUUCAGUGCUUUGAGAACAUGCCUUGUGUUAAAGAUGAGAAAUCAUAUUCCUUUCCAGAUUGUGAUGAAUUCCCUGAUGAAACUGGAGCUCCCGCUUGAGGUUUAUUAACUCCAGCUGUUAUCCCACCAUUAACAGGGGUAACCUGCCCCAUGGGAUAAAAGCUAGAUGCUGGGUAUGGUACAGAGCUUCCUGCUAGAUUAGUGAGUCCAGCGUUACCGGUCUGCAUAAGUUUUCGUGAGUCACCCUGCCCCGCUACUGGCAUCACUAAUCCGGGAAUUUGGUAUCCAACAUUUGGCCAAUUUUGAGCAGGCGAGUUAACACCAUUGGAUCCAGGCUGUUGAAUACUGCCAGGAAAUUUUGGGUCUGCACCACCUGAUUUUGCUGCAGCAGCAAUGAGAAGGGACUGUUGCUGUGCUAGCAUAGCAAGCUGCUGUUGAUGCAUUGCGAAUGGGGACACCAUAUUGGACUUCUCAAAAAGGCUCAUAAUAUCAUUUUUUAAAUCUUUCUGUGGUUUCUCUGUCACUGAAGUUUUUGUCAUGGAAGGUGUAUCUUUAAAUAAAUCCUCCAUUCCAGAAGUGGAGUUGGUAUUAUUCUCUGCUACUUUGGUUGGAGCAGUUUUGUCUGUUGUUGGUUCUUCUUCAGCAGCUGCAGCUGUUAAUGGCUCAGAGUCAAACUAGAUAGCUAUAAUAGAACUUGAUAACAUAAAGCCAAGUGUAUUUCUAACAGAAACUAGACCAUGCUACUAGAAUUUUAAAAGGGGAAAAGAGAACAAAUGAAAGAAAAAUAAAAAUAAGCAAAAACAGCAUGGAUGAUCCUGUCAGGCGGAACAUUUGCAAAGUGAAGACUUACAUUGAAAACCUGCCCAUCCAUUAUCAUCACUGGAAGCUGCCUCUGAGCAAUUUUCACUUGUACCAUCCACAGAUAACAUGUUGAAAAGGUCAGUAGCAUAAUCAAUUUUAGGCGCAGGAGUAGCAGUUGCAACAUUCUUUGUUAGUUCACCUGGCUCCGCUUUAGAUUCAAUUUUCUGAAUAACCUGUUGGGGCUUUGGAGGAGUGACCUGUUCAGGUCCCUUGGGAGGAAAGGGAAUGCUAAUUCUUGAAACAGGAACACUGUCUUUUGAACUUUGUGGUUGAGCAUUCUUUCUUUCAUCAAACAUAUUCUCUGAACUGCUGGCACGCUGAUGCCCACUUCUUUCACUGGGUCUCUGCCAAUGACCAGGAGAUCUUUCAUCAUGCCCUUUGGGAGGGGAUUUUGCUUUUCCAUCUAUGGGGAGCCAUCUCUUCUCUUCAUACUUUGCACGAAUGAAAUUCUCUAUUCCAACUCUAUCAUAGUUGGGGGGCAGCUCCGCUUCCCAGUGACUAUUUGCCUUCUCAUUUCCCAUUGAUUGAAUAAAUGCAACCUGCUCUGGAAGCCAUGUGUCAAGGGUUGCAGAUCGAACCUGCAGCAAAAACAAGUAAAGACACUUGGAUGCCAGGUUUAAAUUUUAAUAACAAAACAAUGAUACAAUAUGCCAUAAGUGCUCAAAUGGCAUGUAGGCCAACAAUGAUCAUCUGAACAAGAACGGUUACAAUACAAUUUAUGUUGAAUGAAUUCUGCAGUGAGAUGAGAUAAAUUUAUAUGUGAAACUAUUUUUCUAUAGAAGAUGAUGAAUAAAAAAUCAUCUAUAAACUAUGAUUCAAACAAUGUGAAAAAGUAAAAUUCACUUAAUUGACAGCAUCAUAAAUUCAUAAUUAUUGUUCCUGUUCCAUGUACAAUUAAUCAUCUAUCCAUUCCCCCCACCUUACAAUUCCUUUUUAGGCAUUCUCUCAUAAAAUCAGAAGAAUAAAGAAAAGCAGCAGUUCAGUUGAUUCUGCAAAAAAUCGAGAUGUCCAUGUUAAUUAGGUUUCCCAUAAUUAAUGUCCACAUGCUAUUGUUCCACAAUAGAGCUUACUGCAUUUACCAUCAUAAGUCCACAGAUAAUAAUUCAAUGGAAGUUAAGGGACAGCUCAUCCUUUCCAUUUCGUUCUCCAAUAAUUAAGUGAAUCAUCAAGUUUAUUGGACAAUGAAACAUCACCUUCGAUAUGUGCACCCCAAGACUUCUGUGGAUCCCUGAACAUUGCAUGCAUAUAAAGAUACCUAAAUUUACACUUGCCCAUCUUGGACCUUUGGCUUUGCAGUCAGCACAUUCUCUAUUCUCAGGCAAUUUAAGGAGACCUUCCAAUAUCUUUCUGUGCUUGGCAUUAAGCUCUUUAGAGACGUUGGCCUUCUCGUUCAUGGCGACAGUACCAACCAAACCUAGAAUCGGCAAAUUGAGAGACAGAAGAAACAAACAAGAAGCAGAAACAGCAAGAACGGAGAGAUUGAGGUCAAUUUCGUCUUUUUAUCUGUCUCUCCCCUCUUCUCUGUGUUCUUUAUUGUCUCUCUCUUUUCCCUCUCUCUGAUUACCAUGCGAAAAAGGAAAGAGAGAAAAGAAAAGAGAGAUCGCAAACAGUGUGUGCUCGCCCCUUGACUUUUAAAUUUGAUUGUUUCAUUUUCUUUGGCUUUUUUGGGGUUUUUAUUUUUCUUUGUUUGCACGUGCCAAUGUGAGGUGAGGCUGCGUUGUGGGAUUGGUACGUGUUGGUUGGGGGGGGAGGUGUUAGGUUAGCAGAAGAAAAACGACUGCGUUUUGAACCCACAGAUACUAAACGAUGUGGAGAGCCAAACGGUGAUACCUGCAGAAUCAUGCUUCUGAUCUUACAAAUUUGCAGACAAGGCGACGACUGUGACUAUAUACAGAUAAAUUGAGUAUAAUUGGUCAUCUUACGGACAGUGGUACCAUGGAAAAUGUAACUGGCUCACAGUCUAAACCUCAAUGGCAGCAAAGGGGAAAUGAAGAGAAGAAGGCAGCAGUUCAUGAAGAAAUGAAGAGAAUGAACCAACUUCCUGUAAACAGCACUUAUGCUACCCAUCGCCUGCGAGUUCUCAACAAAAUUCUGCAACUUUUAUCCAUUCAGAGGACUGUCUCACAGGAAGAGGAAUUGGAGUUGCUUUUUGCUGGGCUGCAUCUGUGAAAUUGUCUGUGCAAUUGCAGGUGACCCGUGCAAUUUUUUCUUGUAAUCAGGUUAAAUUUGUAACUACUAUGUAUGUUGUGUCUUUAAACUUUGAGCAUCGAUUGCUAUGGCUUUAGGUAUAGCUCCUAGUUAUGUUAGACUACAUUGUAAGUUACAGAGUUCCAAGUUCUGUGAUGAUGACAAAUUGUUUUUACUUACAUCAUGUAUAUAGUUUUUUUGUUUCUGUUGUUGGGACUGUAAAAAAUGAAUUUGUAAAACUUUUAUAUGUGCCACGGGAGUU
RNAcentral lists this unclassified non-coding RNA (3933 nucleotides) under Hevea brasiliensis (rubber tree). Lineage: Eukaryota; Viridiplantae; Streptophyta; Magnoliopsida; Malpighiales; Euphorbiaceae. The record is from RNAcentral.